UGGGGAAUAUUGGACAAUGGGCGCAAGCCUGAUCCAGCCAUGCCGCGUGAGUGAUGAAGGCCCUAGGGUUGUAAAGCUCUUUCACCGGUGAAGAUAAUGACGGUAACCGGAGAAGAAGCCCCGGCUAACUUCGUGCCAGCAGCCGCGGUAAUACGAAGGGGGCUAGCGUUGUUCGGAUUUACUGGGCGUAAAGCGCACGUAGGCGGACUUUUAAGUCAGGGGUGAAAUCCCGGGGCUCAACCCCGGAACUGCCUUUGAUACUGGAAGUCUUGAGUAUGGUAGAGGUGAGUGGAAUUCCGAGUGUAGAGGUGAAAUUCGUAGAUAUUCGGAGGAACACCAGUGGCGAAGGCGGCUCACUGGACCAUUACUGACGCUGAGGCGCGAAAGCGUGGGGAGCAAACAGG
Molecule: ribosomal RNA, 404 nt
Filed under: Brucella melitensis
Lineage: Bacteria; Pseudomonadati; Pseudomonadota; Alphaproteobacteria; Hyphomicrobiales; Brucellaceae
Also listed under: 3 other names
Description: partial 16S ribosomal RNA
Rfam family: Bacterial small subunit ribosomal RNA
Source: RNAcentral